RNAcentral lists this ribosomal RNA (484 nucleotides) under uncultured bacterium. RNAcentral's name for it is "partial 16S ribosomal RNA". It matches the Rfam family "Bacterial small subunit ribosomal RNA", at positions 29 to 507 of the family's 1533-position model. The record is from RNAcentral.
AAUGAACGCUGGCGGCAGGCCUAACACAUGCAAGUCGAGCGGAUGAAGGGAGCUUGCUCCUGGAUUCAGCGGCGGACGGGUGAGUAAUGCCUAGGAAUCUGCCUUGUAGUUGGGGAUAACGUCCGGAAACGGGCGCUAAUCCCGCAUACGUCCUGAUGUAGAAAGUGGGGGAUCUUCGGACCUCACGCUAUCAGAUUAGCCUAGGUCGGAUUAGCUAGGUGGUGGGGUAAAUGCCUACCAAGGCGACGAUCCGUAACUGGUCUGAGAGGAUGAUCAGUCACACUGGAACUGAGACACGGUACAGACUCCUACGGGAGGCAGCAGUGGGGAAUCUUGGACAAUGGGCGAAAGCCUGAUCCAGCAAUGCCGCGUGUGUGAAGAAGGUCUUCGGAUUGUAAAGCACUUUAAGUUGGGAGGAAGGGAAGUACGUUAAUCCCUUGCUGUAUUGACGUUACCAACAGAAUAAGCCCCGGCUAACUUCGUG